This 797-nucleotide ribosomal RNA is filed under the name Antigonia capros (deepbody boarfish). RNAcentral describes it as "partial 12S ribosomal RNA". It matches the Rfam family "Bacterial small subunit ribosomal RNA", at positions 7 to 1348 of the family's 1533-position model. The record is from RNAcentral. Lineage: Eukaryota; Metazoa; Chordata; Actinopteri; Caproiformes; Caproidae.
CAAAGGCUUGGUCCUGACUUUACUAUCAAUUAUAGCUAAACUUACACAUGCAAGUAUCCGCACCCCUGUGAGAAUGCCCUACAGUUCCCCGCCCGAGAACAAGGUAGCCGGCAUCAGGCACACUCCUCCCUUCAGCCCACGACGCCUUGCUUAGCCACACCCCCAAGGGAACUCAGCAGUGACAGACAUUAAGCCAUAAGUGAAAACUUGACUUAGUUAAAGCUAAGAGGGCCGGUAAAACUCGUGCCAGCCACCGCGGUUAUACGAGAGGCCCAAGUUGAUAGACACCGGCGUAAAGGGUGGUUAAGAUAUUCUAAAACUAAAGCCGAAUACCUCAAAGCCGUUAUACGUACCCGAAGGUAAGAAGCCCAACUACGAAAGUGGCUUUACAUAUUCUGACCCCACGAAAGCUAUGACACAAACUGGGAUUAGAUACCCCACUAUGCCUAGCCAUAAACAUCGACAACAAACUACACCUGUUGUCCGCCUGGGAACUACGAGCACUAGCUUAAAACCCAAAGGACUUGGCGGUGCUUUAGACCCCCCUAGAGGAGCCUGUCCUAGAACCGAUAACCCCCGUUCAACCUUACCCUUCCUUGUUUUUCCCGCCUAUAUACCGCCGUCGUCAGCUUACCCUGUUGAAGGCCCCACAGUAAGCAAAAUUGGUAUACCCCAAAACGUCAGGUCGAGGUGUAGCGUAUGGAAGGGAAAGAGAUGGGCUACAUUCCCUUAAUUAAGGGCACACGGAAGGUGCACUGAAAUAUACACCUGAAGGAGGAUUUAGCAGUAAGCAGAAA